This is a long non-coding RNA of Paramisgurnus dabryanus, 1425 nucleotides long. RefSeq lists it as uncharacterized. The record is from RefSeq and is a predicted model, not a curated record. Lineage: Eukaryota; Metazoa; Chordata; Actinopteri; Cypriniformes; Cobitidae.
GUCAAUAGUGAAUUUUUACGGUGUGUCCCAAUGCAGUGUAUUUGUGUGUGUAAACCUUUGUGAAUAAUAUAUAUGUUAUUAUAUAAUUAAACAUGCUUAAUUAAUCUCUUAACUUUCAACCAUCUGUAAGAAUUUUGACUGAUGAAGCUUCUAGUAAAUUCAAUUAAAUUUAAACCAACAUUAAACAUAUACAGUCAUAUGCAAAAGUGUGUACACCCCUGACAGUUUCCAUGUUUUUCAUUUAUACAUAUUUGGGUGUUUGGAUCAGCCAUUUCAUAUUGAUCUAUCAAAUAACUUAAGGGGACAGUAAUAUUUCAGUAGUGAAAUUAGGUUUAUUGGAUUAACAGAAAAUUUGCAAUAUGCAUCAAAAUUAGACGGGUGAAAAAAUUUGGGCAGGUGCUGAUCCAAACACCCAAAUAUUUAUAAAUGAAAAUCAUGGAAAUUGUCAGGUGUGCCCAAACUUUUGCAUACAACUGUUAGCUGUCCCUGAUGUCUUAUCCUGAAGCUAGUCUGUGCGAAUCAUACACUACGUGAUUUUCCAAAACUGGUAUAACGGGUGAAAAGUUUCAACCUGAGAACUCUUAAAUGGCAGUGCGUUAUAGUGAGGUGGCAUUUAGAGAAUAAGGGACAGAAGUUGAGCACUGAACAGAGUCAGGGUUUAUCACUACCAGCAGGUGCAACCCGUCCCAGGUCCUUCACGCUUUAACAGUGCAUUCAUCAAGGACAGACAGUAGUCUAGAAUCUUUUCUUAGAGGUUUUGGUGCAAAAGUUUUGAAGUAAAAAAUUAUACAUCUGGUUUUGGUCAUAUGUAAAGCUCAGUAUUAUUGGCAAAACAGUGAAAAAUAAAUCUAUUCCUGACAGUGUCUCAUAGGGAAAGCAUAUGCAAAAGGAAAAAUGAGAGGACCUAGCACUGAGCCAUGUGGCACUCCACAUUUAACUUGUAAUUUCUUCAUUCAACAAUUGUACUUUAACCAUGUUAAUGUCUGUCUGAAAAUGGCAAAAUAUUUCUACAAUCCAUCCAAUACACAGUCAUUAUGAUGUAUAUUGCAAUAGCAGAAUUAUUUGGCUGUGGUCAGAUGUUUAAAAGCUGUUUUUUAACAUUUGGAGAAAUUAAAGUAAAAGCCUUUCUCAUUAGCUGGGUAGGUUUCUGUCAUCAAAUGUAACAUGACAACGUGAUUGUUUUCAGAAUAGAGAACUCUCAGUUUCAUUGUUCAGCCAAACAGACAGCAAACUCACAUCAUUGGAUGAGCCAGUAUAGGGAUGGCUGGUAUAUUUAAACAGCAAUAUUUUUAAAGCACCAGAGAGUUACAGUGUUUAAUAUUAAAAGAUUACUCCAUCAUGAAAUGGAUAUAUGAAUAUGGACAUGAAUAUGUCAUGAAAAAUUGUAAUGUCUAUCUUUGUUUAGUCGAAAAAUUACUUUUUUUU